This 343-nucleotide unclassified non-coding RNA is filed under the name soil metagenome. Its description in RNAcentral is "partial contains 5.8S ribosomal RNA, internal transcribed spacer 2, and large subunit ribosomal RNA". The stretch from base 1 to 120 matches the Rfam family "5.8S ribosomal RNA", at positions 35 to 154 of the family's 154-position model. The record is from RNAcentral.
GAUGAAGAACGUAGCGAAAUGCGAUAAGUAAUGUGAAUUGCAGAAUCCAGUGAAUCAUCGAAUCUUUGAACGCACAUUGCGCCCGCCAGCAUUCUGGCGGGCAUGCCUGUUCGAGCGUCAUUUCAACCCUCGACCUCCCUUUGGGGAAGUCGGCGUUGGGGACCGGCAGCACACCGCCGGCCCUGAAAUGGAGUGGCGGCCCGUCCGCGGCGACCUCUGCGUAGUAAUCCAACUCGCACCGGAACCCCGACGCGGCCACGCCGUAAAACACCCAACUUCUGAACGUUGACCUCGAAUCAGGUAGGACUACCCGCUGAACUUAAGCAUAUCAAUCAGCGGAGGA